AAUAAAGUGCCUGAAAAAGGAUUAUUUUGAUAGGAUAAAUCAUGUAAAUUAAUUACCUUUAUUA
Molecule: transfer RNA, 64 nt
Filed under: Cyrestis thyodamas (common map butterfly)
Lineage: Eukaryota; Metazoa; Arthropoda; Insecta; Lepidoptera; Nymphalidae
Description: tRNA-Ile
Source: RNAcentral